AGAGAGAGACAUGCGCGCAUAUCAAUAAGCGGAGGAAAAGAAACUAACUAGGAUUCCCUCAGUAACGGCGAGUGAAGCGGGAAGAGCUCAAAUUUGAAAUCUUCAAGGGUUCUACCUUUACGAAUUGUAGUUUAAAGAAGUGUUUUCUGUUGAGGUUUUGGUAAAAGUUCUUUGGAAUAGGACAUCAUAGAGGGUGAGAAUCCCGUAUUUGACCAUUAUUUCCAGCUUUGUGAUACACUUUCAAAGAGUCGGAUUGUUUGGGAAUGCAGUCCAAAAUGGGUGGUAAAUUUCAUCUAAAGCUAAAUAUUGGCGAGAGACCGAUAGCGAACAAGUACCGUGAGGGAAAGAUGAAAAGAACUUUGAAAAGAGAGUUAAACAGUACGUGAAAUUGUCAAAAGGGAAGCGUUUGACACCAGUGUUGUUUUCUCGAAAAUCAAUUAAAAAAGGCAGGAUUUUGUGUUGUAUUGACUUUAUCAGCUUUCUGCACUCUUUUCUUGUCUUUUUUAAUGCGCUUUUCGUUUAACAAGUCAACAUCAAUUUCUUUUGUUGUAAAAGGGUCAUUGGAAGGUGGCUUUCUUUUCGGAGAAAGUGUUUAUAGCCUUUGGCCUCUGCAAUCGGAGAGAUUGAGGUCUGCAGCGUAGAUCCUUCGGGGUUAGAUACAUUUGUGCUAAGUUAUAGCCUUUCAUAGACAACUUGUUGACUAUGAUCAGUCAUGUAGCUUACUCGCUUAUGCUAUUUUACCUACGCUUAGGAUGUUGAUGUGAUACUGCGAGCA
This 775-nucleotide ribosomal RNA is filed under the name uncultured Neocallimastigales. Its description in RNAcentral is "partial large subunit ribosomal RNA". It matches the Rfam family "Eukaryotic large subunit ribosomal RNA", at positions 23 to 628 of the family's 3401-position model. The record is from RNAcentral. Lineage: Eukaryota; Fungi; Neocallimastigomycota; Neocallimastigomycetes; Neocallimastigales.